UACGAAGGGGGCUAGCGUUGUUCGGAAUCACUGGGCGUAAAGCGCACGUAGGCGGAUGUGCCAGUCAGGGGUGAAAUCCCGGAGCUCAACUUCGGAACUGCCUCUGAUACAGCACGUCUUGAGUCCGGAAGAGGUGGGUGGAAUUCCUAGUGCAGAGGUGAAAUUCGUAGAUAUUAGGAAGAACACCGGUGGCGAAGGCGGCCCACUGGUCCGGUACUGACGCUGAGGUGCGAAAGCGUGGGGAGCAAACAGG
Molecule: ribosomal RNA, 253 nt
Filed under: uncultured bacterium
Lineage: Bacteria
Description: partial 16S ribosomal RNA
Rfam family: Bacterial small subunit ribosomal RNA
Source: RNAcentral